UACGUAGGGGGCGAGCGUUGUUCGGAAUUACUGGGCGUAAAGGGCGCGUAGGCGGCGACCUAAGUCAGAUGUGAAAGUCCUGGGCUUAACCUGGGGACUGCAUUUGAUACUGGGUUGCUUGAAUUCGGGAGAGGAUAGCGGAAUUCCCAGUGUAGAGGUGAAAUUCGUAGAUAUUGGGAAGAACACCGGUGGCGAAGGCGGCUAUCUGGACCGACAUUGACGCUGAGGCGCGAAAGCGUGGGGAGCAAACAGG
Molecule: ribosomal RNA, 253 nt
Filed under: uncultured bacterium
Lineage: Bacteria
Description: partial 16S ribosomal RNA
Rfam family: Bacterial small subunit ribosomal RNA
Source: RNAcentral